RNAcentral lists this ribosomal RNA (451 nucleotides) under uncultured organism. RNAcentral describes it as "partial 16S ribosomal RNA". It matches the Rfam family "Bacterial small subunit ribosomal RNA", at positions 329 to 797 of the family's 1533-position model. The record is from RNAcentral.
ACGUACACUCCUGCGGGAGGCAGCAGUGGGGAAUCUUGCGCAAUGGGCGAAAGCCUGACGCAGCCAUGCCGCGUGAAUGAUGAAGGUCUUAGGAUUGUAAAAUUCUUUCACCGGGGACGAUAAUGACGGUACCCGGAGAAGAAGCCCCGGCUAACUUCGUGCCAGCAGCCGCGGUAAUACGAAGGGGGCUAGCGUUGCUCGGAAUUACUGGGCGUAAAGGGAGCGUAGGCGGACAUUUAAGUCAGGGGUGAAAUCCCGGGGCUCAACCUCGGAAUUGCCUUUGAUACUGGGUGUCUUGAGUAUGAGAGAGGUGUGUGGAACUCCGAGUGUAGAGGUGAAAUUCGUAGAUAUUCGGAAGAACACCAGUGGCGAAGGCGACACACUGGCUCAUUACUGACGCUGAGGCUCGAAAGCGUGGGGAGCAAACAGGAUUAGAAACCCGAGUAGUCCC